UGGGGAAUCUUGCGCAAUGGGCGAAAGCCUGACGCAGCCACGCCGCGUGAGGGAUGAAGGCUCUAGGGUCGUAAACCUCUUUCAGCAGGGACGAAAAUGACGGUACCUGCAGAAGAAGCUCCGGCCAACUACGUGCCAGCAGCCGCGGUAACACGUAGGGGGCGAGCGUUGUCCGGAUUUAUUGGGCGUAAAGAGCUCGUAGGCUGUUCAGUAAGUCAGGUGUGAAAACUCGAGGCUCAACCUCGAGACGCCACCUGAUACUGCUGUGACUAGAGUCCGGUAGGGGAGUGUGGAAUUCCUGGUGUAGCGGUGAAAUGCGCAGAUAUCAGGAGGAACACCAGCAGCGAAGGCGGCACUCUGGGCCGGUACUGACGCUCAGGAGCGAAAGCAUGGGGAGCGAACAGGAUUAGAUACCCUGGUAGUCCAUGCCGUAAACGUUGGGCACUAGGUGUGGGAUUUAACUAACAAAUUCCGUGCCGUAGCUAACGCAUUAAGUGCCCCGCCUGGGGAGUACGGCCGCAAGGCUA
Molecule: ribosomal RNA, 527 nt
Filed under: uncultured bacterium
Lineage: Bacteria
Description: bacterial SSU rRNA
Rfam family: Bacterial small subunit ribosomal RNA
Source: RNAcentral